AAACUGCUUGCCGAACUAUCAGACUAGAGCAUGGGAGAGGACAGUGGAAUUCCCGGUGUAGCGGUGGAAUGCGUAAAUAUCGGGAGGAACACCAGUGGCGCAGGCUGCUGUCUGGAACAUUGCUGACGCUGAGGUGCGAAAGCCAGGCGAGCAAACGGGAUUAGAUACCCCGGUAGUCCUGGCCGUAAACGAUGCUCACUAGGUGUUACCGGCAUUAACCCCGGUAGUGCUGUUCUGCUAACGCGUUAAGUGAGCCGCCUGGGGAGUACGGCCGCAAGGCUGAAACUCAAAGGAAUUGACGGGGGCCCGCACAAGCGGUGGAGCAUGUGGGUCAAUUGGAUGCUACGCCAAGAACCUUACCAGGGCUUGACAUGUUGGGGCCCGCGUGAGAGAUCA
Molecule: ribosomal RNA, 396 nt
Filed under: uncultured bacterium
Lineage: Bacteria
Description: bacterial SSU rRNA
Rfam family: Bacterial small subunit ribosomal RNA
Source: RNAcentral